AAAGAUACCAAAAGGAUUGGAUAUUUUCACCAAAUCUCCAAAUGUGAUUAUUGAACUGACGUUAAUUUAUUGUUUCGUUAUCAUUUAAUUAGUGAUCUAUUGUUAAUCUUUAUUAUUGAUGGGCUAAUUAAGGUAUUUCUUAAUUACAGGUGAACAAUUAUUACUUAGCUUUUAAAAGUACUAACCCAUUUUUAACAUCAAAAUGAACGUUGCAGUUUCCUUGUCAUUGUUUUGUCUAUUGGGAUCUAUUAAGGUGUUGGUCAAUCAAUCUUAAUUUUGAUUGUUUCCUACACUAAUACUGUAGAUUUAAUUGUGACCUUUUCGUAUUUUAACUAAUUGUUAACCAGAUGAAUUAUAUUAGUUGGAAUAAUCUGAUGUUGUUUAUUAGACUUCACUAGAAAAGUGGAAAUGAUUAACCAUAAUUAAUAUGCUCUAUCACAAUUUGGACUCACCAUGACAAGGCUACUUCCGGGAUCCCUGUUGUACUUUAUAAGCUCUAGUUGAUUAUUGGAGGGAAAGGCCCAAAGAAAUUGAUACUCAGUCAAGUAUCAACCGAGUGUUAAGCUUAUUGGAUCAUCGAAAGCUUUAAAUUUCUAAUGGCUCAGUUUCCCCCUGACCCUGAGUGACCAUUACAAAUUUCUUGUCACCAUAUCAACAACAACAACAACAACCAGACAAGAGUAUCGGUUAUCAAAUUCAGUCCAGUGAUCAAGUUAACCAUUUUCAAUGAGAUUCAAUUUUGAAGGAGUCACUUGGAUGGGUGAAAAUUUCUGAGUCAAACCUGAUUCUGAUUAACUUACUUAUCAAGCCUCUCCUAAAGUUAAUCAUGGAAAUCAAUGGUUGAAUCAAAAUAGGAACACACUAAUAAACAAACAGAAUCACUUGGAAUGACCAGAAAACUUGAGCCAAUCUCUCUACUUGAUAUACACCCUGUAUGACGAUUUCCAUGUGAAGGACAACGAUUAAAGCGAAAAUCUCUCAAAAGGAAUGGAUUUAGAAUACAAAUUAAUAAUCUAAUCCUUUCAAUCCACAACCUUGGCUUGUAAAUCCAACCGAUUAAAUCUGUAUACUGUUAACUCGUUUUAACAGUUAAUUCUCUUAAUCCAGUAAUUAAGUGUAAAUCUCAAGACAAUUUAAUUUGUGAUCUGUUGAUGUUCAGAAGGAGGAAACGGAAAAUAAUUAACACCAAUUGAAAAGCAUUGAUUCGGGAAAAAAAGCAAACAAUUGAAGACGUAAAGGGAAAAUUGAUGAUAAUAGAAAACAUUGAUUCGUAUUAAUCAACAAUCUAAUUUAAUCUCUCAUCAUCAUCAUCAUCAAUUUCAUUUUGAUCUAAUAACAUUUUCUUCAUCUUUCAUGUCCUAAUUUUCUAGGAUAAUCUCUUAAUUCUUGUAAUCUAAUGUUGUUGUAAUAGAUGAACAUUCAAUUUUAGAUUAUCUUUUUUAGAUUAAUGUUUAAUUGUUUCCCAAAACAGUUAUAAUCAAAUUGAGUUGAUGAUGAUUAUGAUAACUGUAUUUUUACGGUGUCAAUGAGAAAUGAAAUUUUUCUCAUCAUCUUGAUGAUGAUGAUGAUGAUGAUGAUCACCAUCAUAACUUUAUAUUAAGGUAACUGUUAAAUUAAAUCACAUUCAAAUGAAGAUGAUGGUUUAAUAACAGUUGAUUGAAUUUUCUGUUGAUUAAAGUUAAAAAUAAAUCAACAAGUUAUCAUGUUGAUAAUAAGUUGGUAGUAAAUCAAAAAUGAUAAUAAUUAUUAUUAUAUUAUGAUUAUGAUGAUGAUCUUGAUUUAUUUGAAUAUAUAUCGAUAAUCAUAUUAAUUACCACUAAUCGAGGAUAUUUUGUCAUUAAAUUGUUUUAGUUAAAUUGUAUUUGCAUUUAGCGUAUUCAUUGGAUAACCCAAACAACUGAAAAACUGAUUAAAGGGAUUUUGGAAUCAAUAACUUGUUCAUUAAGUGGAUUACAUCAUUAAAGAUAUUGCAGUUGAUCAUGAUGAUUAUAAUUACGAUGAUGGUGAUAAUAAAUUAACUAAAGAAUCUGAUUUUAAUUCAGUUUACACCUCGAAGCUAUUAACGUGACUCAAAGUCAAAUAUUAGACAUUCAUAAUCAAUACAUGAUCGUGUUUGAAUAACAAUUAAAACGAAAAGUAUAUUUCAUAGUUUCUUUAACGAGUCACAAUUAACUGAUUACUGGAAUUGGUAAAUUAAGUCUUUCUUUUUUUAAUUUACUUAUCACCAUCGAUAUUGAUUAACUCAAGAUUAUUUCUGUAAUCCACUGGAAGUACAAUGUAAUUACUUAGUUAAUUGUUCUUGGUAUUCAAAUGAUAAUCCAACUUUGAUUGUUGAAGUAAAACAACUUUUCGUAUUUACAACAAUUUACUAAUCAUUAACAUACCGAUCAUCAUCAUUAACUUUAUACUUUAUACUUUCAAUCUUAAUUUAAUGUGUAACAUAAAUUGUUGUUUUUUUCAUUGUUCACAGCAAUCAAAGUAAUGGUUAAACAAUUAUCAAAGGAAAUGAUGAUCAAGUGAUUUGCCGUAAAUUGUUUGAAAUCAUCAAACUAAAUCAACUCUUCAAGGUCCUCAAACCAUCAUAAACAUUGAAAACAAAAUCACAUUAAUUGUAAUUAACAUGGGAUCAAAAAUGUUGAAGGAAAAGGAAAGUAAUCACAAUUAAAAGAGCAAUCAAAAAGAUUUAGUUUAACAAUCAACAAUCAACAUCUUAAUCAUGAUGAUGGUUAAAAUUUUCAUCAUGUCUCUAAAUUGUAGUUGCUUUUUUUUGUGGUUAAAUCGUUGGUAACAAUUAGUUUUAUUCAUGAUCUUUAAAUAACUUUAGCUUCUAAUUUUAAUUGUGAUUAUAAUCAGUAUCAUAUUGUUUCAGUUGUAAACAAAAUCACUAUUUAAUUAACAAUCAUUUAAUUUGAUUCAACUCUAACAAGCUAAUUUUCAUGAAGAAAAAUUAACAAACAAUCAACAACAACAAAAGUUAAGAAAGAAAUUAAUUUUUCUGAUUAAUCAAACCCACUGAUUCUUUAAUUUAGGUUGAUUUGAUUACGAAAAUUUUUCUUCUUCAUUUACAAUGAUUAACUUAAUUGUUGGUUUUAACAAUUAACCACAACAACACCAAGUACAUUGAUCCUACAAUUGAAAAUUGUUCACAGUUUUCAUUUAAAUUAGUGAAUCAAUUUCAAUUAUUUAAGAUUAAUCAUUAAUGAUUAAUAUUAAGAGGAUUAAACUUGAACAAUUAAUCAAUCAACAUUGAUUAAGAUGAGAUUAUUGUAAUCUAAUCUCAAAUAUAAGGUCAAAUUUAAGUUAAUUGUUAUCACUAAAUAUUUAUUAUGAUUAACUGUUGGUCAGUUUGCUGUCGGACAAUCAAUCAAAUUGUGUGCAGUUAAACAUAAUCAUGAUUAAGGAGGGACACAAAGAAGACAUUUAAUUGUUGAUUAACAUUGACAAUCAACUAAACAUGAUCCAGAUCAACAAACAACAACAAUUUAAAUUGUAAAGGAAAAAAUUGAAAUGAUGAAAAUAAUUUAGGUCAUCUUAAUGGUCAGUUUACAAUUUAAGUUAAUUGUUGUUGAUUAUUUGUUUAUUUGCUUUGUUUCAAUUAAAUUGUUAUUAUUAAUUUUUUCAUUUAAUGACAAAUGUA
Long non-coding RNA from Panonychus citri (citrus red mite), 3637 nucleotides. RefSeq lists it as uncharacterized. NCBI's taxonomy places the organism in Eukaryota, Metazoa, Arthropoda, Arachnida, Trombidiformes, Tetranychidae. The transcript is spliced from 5 exons. The record is from RefSeq and is a predicted model, not a curated record.